GACACUAUCCAAUAACCACAACUGUAAUAUGUAUUGAAAGAAAAUACUGCAGCAUAAUAAACAAUGUAGUGAUUACAAGUUUAGGCAGCAUUGAUACUUCAUCACUUGUGAUAAAAUAAGGAAAGCAGUAAGAGCUAUCAAGAGCCAGUUGGCUCCAUUAAUUUGAACAAAUUAUAUCACACUGAUAACAAAACAGACAAGAUCAUUCAC
RNAcentral lists this unclassified non-coding RNA (210 nucleotides) under Hevea brasiliensis (rubber tree). The record is from RNAcentral. Lineage: Eukaryota; Viridiplantae; Streptophyta; Magnoliopsida; Malpighiales; Euphorbiaceae.